CGCGCGUCGGAAACAUGCUGCCGUCCCAGUGCGCGAGACUAACGGCGUGGAGAGUGUGCAGCUAGCGUGCUCUGCGGGACGUGACAGCGAGCACAGGCGCGCAGCACUAGCUCGGACGGCGCCCCGCGCGUCUCUUCCUGUCCGUGCUUUCCGGAGACUGCGCGAGCUUUUCCAACAAAUGCGGCGUUUCCCACCGUCGCUGUGGGACAGAGUUUAGCUAGCGUGCUAGCUAGCGAGCGUCUGUGAAAGUGCUCUGCUGUGCUCCAGCAACGCAGGUAGUUUAAACCGACACCUCCGGCGGCGCUUUGGGACUGCGGACGAGCUUUGUCAGAGAAGGUUUGUGCGGUUUUUCUAAAAUGCACCACCAGCAGCGAAUGGCAGCCUUAGGGACAGACAAAGAGCUCAGCGACUUGCUGGAUUUCAGUGCGAUGCGAAACAGCGAUUUGAAAAUGUUCCCCACGUCCAUGAUGUUCUCUCCUCCUGUUAGCAGCGGGAAGAACGGAGCGACCUCUCUGGGAAGCGGACACUUCUCCGGCUCAG
Non-coding RNA from Electrophorus electricus (electric eel), 540 nucleotides. The record is from RefSeq and is a predicted model, not a curated record. NCBI's taxonomy places the organism in Eukaryota, Metazoa, Chordata, Actinopteri, Gymnotiformes, Gymnotidae.